This 253-nucleotide unclassified non-coding RNA is filed under the name uncultured Enterobacteriaceae bacterium. RNAcentral describes it as "contains 16S-23S intergenic spacer region". It matches the Rfam family "Bacterial small subunit ribosomal RNA", at positions 524 to 776 of the family's 1533-position model. The record is from RNAcentral. Lineage: Bacteria; Pseudomonadati; Pseudomonadota; Gammaproteobacteria; Enterobacterales; Enterobacteriaceae.
UACGGAGGGUGCAAGCGUUAAUCGGAAUUACUGGGCGUAAAGCGCACGCAGGCGGUCUGUCAAGUCGGACGUGAAAUCCCCGGGCUCAACCGGGGAACUGCAUUCGAAACUGGCAGGCUAGAGGCUUGUAGAGGGGGGUAGAACUCCAGGUGUAGCGGUGAAAUGCGUAGAGAUCUGGAGGAAUACCGGUGGCGAAGGCGGCCCACUGGCCAAAGCCUGACGCUGAGGUGCGAAAGCGUGGGGAGCAAACAGG